Molecule: long non-coding RNA, 843 nt
Organism: Myxocyprinus asiaticus (Chinese sucker)
Lineage: Eukaryota; Metazoa; Chordata; Actinopteri; Cypriniformes; Catostomidae
Exons: 4
Source: RefSeq, a predicted model, not a curated record
UUAGCCAGAAAAUCAUAGGUACCACAUUUAGAUAUCCAAGAUUUGUCAAAAAACACUCUUACCCACCUUAUUGAACUUGGGCUGCCUCUGAAAUGUGUUGCCAAACUACUGGGAGUCUCUUGAACAACAUUGUUUAGGAGGUUGGCUGUUAACAAUAUGUCAGUAAGAGCAUUGUAUAGCACCUGUACUGAUGAUGAGCUGACGACAGAGGUGAAGAACUAUACCAGAUGCUGGAAAACAGAUGGUCCGAGGAGCUCUCUUGACACCAACCACAAACUAAUCAGGUACAACAAAUACACACUACUGCUAUUUACACUGACUUUCUGACUCACCCUGAGAUGCGAUGAACUCAACAGUGUGUUCUCAGGAAAAAUGUGUCAUGUUUGUGAGCAAUUUAUUUCUUGGCACUUUCAAUGUUUCAAGGGAUGUCAUUUUUGAUUAGGUACAACAUUAUAAUCUUUGGGGGAAUAGAUAGUUAUUCGUGAAAGGUACGAUUUUUAUUGUUUGUGCUAUUUGCCCUAUCUGUCUUUAAAGUUUUCUCUUUCAUGAAUUUACAUCCACACCUGUUAAUAUUUAUUCUACAGAUAAUGUACCUAAAGGUAGCAAACAACAGUCGCUCUGACACCCAUUUGGAGUGAGGUUCUGAGUGAACAUGGGUUUUCACUGACGUAACAACUGAGAGGUGAUCAUGGAGGUGAAAAUGUAGAAGUAGCAACGCUAAUGUUUUCAGUUUGUAGAACUGACAACAGCAGCUUCAUUGCUAAGUCCAGCCGAGUCCAUGGAAUUUGAUUUGUGAUGCAAUGAACAAAUUAAAUAAAUAAAAAUAACGAAACAGAAAUAAAU